UACGUAGGGUGCAAGCGUUGUCCGGAAUUAUUGGGCGUAAAGAGCUCGUAGGCGGUUUGUCGCGUCUGCCGUGAAAGUCCGGGGCUCAACUCCGGAUCUGCGGUGGGUACGGGCAGACUAGAGUGCAGUAGGGGAGACUGGAAUUCCUGGUGUAGCGGUGAAAUGCGCAGAUAUCAGGAGGAACACCGGUGGCGAAGGCGGGACUCUGGGCCGAUACUGACGCUGAGGAGCGAAAGCGUGGGGAGCGAACAGG
Molecule: ribosomal RNA, 253 nt
Filed under: uncultured bacterium
Lineage: Bacteria
Description: partial 16S ribosomal RNA
Rfam family: Bacterial small subunit ribosomal RNA
Source: RNAcentral